CAUGCCCCUUAUACGCUGGGCUACACACGUGCUACAAUGGGUAGUACAGAGAGUCGCAAAGCCGUGAGGUGGAGCUAAUCUCAGAAAACUAUUCUUAGUUCGGAUUGUACUCUGCAACUCGAGUACAUGAAGUUGGAAUCGCUAGUAAUCGCGAAUCAGCAAUGUCGCGGUGAAUACGUUCUCGGGUCUUGUACACACCGCCCGUCACACCACGAGAGUUGGUUGCACCUGAAGUAGCAGGCCUAACCGUAAGGAGGGAUGCUCCGAGGGUGUGAUUAGCGAUUGGGGUGAAGUCGUAACAAGGUAUCCGUACGGGAACGUGCGGAUGGAUCACCUCCUUUCUAAGGAGUAUAAGUCUUUCUCUAUUCUAUUGGUAAUGUUCUUUACAUUACUUCUGAACAUUGGAAACUAUAUAGUAGAACAAACAAGAAAAAAAUUAACUCUAACAAUUUCUUAGAGUUAGCUGUCAAAAAAUAGAUUAAAAUAAUUAAGGGCACACAAAGGAUGCCUUGGUAGUAAGAGCCGAUGAAGGACGUGGUAAGCUGCGAUAAGCCUAG
Molecule: small RNA, 557 nt
Filed under: uncultured Fusobacterium sp.
Lineage: Bacteria; Fusobacteriati; Fusobacteriota; Fusobacteriia; Fusobacteriales; Fusobacteriaceae
Description: bacterial SSU rRNA
Rfam family: Bacterial small subunit ribosomal RNA (bases 1-341)
Source: RNAcentral